This 75-nucleotide transfer RNA is filed under the name compost metagenome. RNAcentral's name for it is "tRNA-Arg". It matches the Rfam family "tRNA". From Rfam's summary of the family: Transfer RNA (tRNA) molecules are approximately 80 nucleotides in length. Their secondary structure includes four short double-helical elements and three loops (D, anti-codon, and T loops). The record is from RNAcentral.
GGGUUUGUAGUGUAUUGGAUCGCACAGCUUUCUUCUAAAGAGCUAGACUUGGUUCGAUCCCAAGCAGACCUACCA